AAUCUGAUUUUGGUCUGAUCAGAUGCUUUUGUCCUUUGGUUUCCCCCAGAACUGUGAUCUAUGAAUUCUCAGAGGAUACUGAAGUUUCCUGAAUAUGAACACUUCUAGAGACAUGGGCAACAAACCAAAUGGACUUCAUGUGAAAUUAUUGACUACUCUGUGCCUCUCAGCCUCAAUUAGCCCCUAAUUCUAGGCACCUGGAAGCCAAAGCAAACCAUAAGGAGCCACAAGCACUACCCCGAUGCAGCAUCUCUGGAAGGAAGUUUCACAUGAACCACAUUGGCUCUCUGAGGUAUCCAUUUCAGCAGGGAUGCAAGUUUCUGGCAGAGGAAGAAGCAGCAACAAUGCCCAACAAAAGUGCCAGCGGCAGCAGAAGAGAUUGGAAAAAGUCUUGCCAAUGCCUGAUGGAGACAGUGCAUCCGUGGGGAACAGAAUGUAAAUCAAAGUGCCUUCCUACAGUUUUCCAACAGAGUGGUCUUGGCAGUAGGCAUCCCUGUGGGAAGCUGAAUCUGGAGAUGAAAGGAGGGUAGAAUGUAGAAUCCAUGUGGUUGGUUAUAGGCCUUAGCCAUGAGUAUAUAUAAAGUAACUUUGGGAAUAAAGGUAUGUUUUAAGAUACUUUAACAGGGACUGAAGUGUCACUGACAGCAAGAUGAGAGACCAAUUGUCAUAAAUGGGCCAUUUCUACUCGUGACCUAGGGCGGCAACUUUGUAUGAUUAGUAUGAAUGAUGCUUUCUAGAGUUGUGUUCUAGGGACCAUUCUGCCAAUUUCUACUUUCUAUUCUACAUUAUUCUAUAUUUUUUGUAUUCUAUAGACAUGGUUCAGGGCAACUGCUCACGUCCAUGAUCUUUGACCCAAUUUUAAGUACUAAUUUGGGUUGCCCUUAAGAAACACCUUAGAUGUACGUAUUAAUUUUUCUAGCUUAUAAUGUAUUUUCACAUGUAGAAUUACAUUUUUAUCUUUUUACCCUCACAAACUCUAUGAGGUAAACAUUUUAUUCAUAGCUAAUGGGAAAUACAUCUAGGAGUUAUUUUGCUAUUUCUACCAUAAUAUUGUAAUAACACAAUUCCUAGCACAUAGUAAAUGAUCAGAAAACACCUGAUAAUCAUGGAAUUAUUCUUUCAUUAUAUAAACCUAUGAAAAAUGUAUGUUCAAAUAAAGAUUUAAUUAUGAUAAAAUAGAUGUUUUAGAUCUUCAUGGAUACAAUAACUGUAUUCAUGGUCAGCCAUACAAGUAAGAAUUGUGGAGAGUCCCGUGUUUUCCAAUUUCGUGAAGACAAAAAAGGUUCCAGCGUUUCUGAACUGCACCAUACUCAAUGGCAAGUAAAUGAUAUUGUACUUUCUUUCUUCCAG
RNAcentral lists this long non-coding RNA (1350 nucleotides) under Canis lupus familiaris (dog). Its description in RNAcentral is "lncRNA (ENSCAFG00000052429.1, ENSCAFG00845018201.1)". Lineage: Eukaryota; Metazoa; Chordata; Mammalia; Carnivora; Canidae. The record is from RNAcentral.